GUUGGAUCAAGAGUCGGACAGUGCAAGGUGGCCCUGUUGGUCCGUUUUGGUUCCGACCAUGGCGGCGGCAGCGGGUUAACCCCUUGCGCCAAACUGUCCGCUCUAACAGGCCGAAACGGUUCCCUGUGAGUAGGUCCUUCACGGAAUCGAAAGCGAUUACGCAUCAACCAUAUGCAUACGGGACGUCGGCCAAUGUUACUGUGAACAAACCAGCGUGUCCAAAGCAGGCUUUCGCCUGAAUGUUCGAGCAUGGAAUAACAAGGGAUCGAUUAUCUCGGUUCUUUUUGUUGGUUUUUUAACCCGAGAAGGAGUAAUUCAGGCCACGGUGUGUGAGUUGGGUUCCCCUGCUCCUUGGAGUAGGCCCCAAUUAGGCCGUGUCCUUACGGGAUCAAUAGGGACUGACGGGGUCGUACGUACUCUCGCGUCAGAGGUGAAAUUCUUAGAUCGCGGGAAGACGAACUUCUGCGAAAGCAUUCGACAAGAAUGUCUUCAUUAAUCAAGAACGAGAGUGAGGGGAUCGAAGAUGAUCAGAUACCGUCGUAGUCCACUACUGUAAACAAUGCCGUCUCAGGAUUGAGAAGUGAACCAAAUGACUUUCACAGCACUAACCCCUGAAACGAGAAAUCAAAGAUUAUGGGUUCAGGAGGGGGGGGUACAUUCGCAAGGCUGAAACUUAAAGGAAUUGAAUUUCACUAGGUCAGGACAAUGUAAGGAUUGACAGAUUGAGAGCUCUUUCUCGAUCCAUUGUGUGGUGGUGCAUGGCCGCUCCUGGUUGGUGGAGUGAUUUCUCUGGUUGAUUCCGUUAACGAACGAGAUCUCGACCCUUAAAUAGGUGCCCGUGUCGAUUGUAGUCUCACCUCCGCUUGCUUGCAAGAUUGGAGUGGGAUGAGACUGCGGGAAUACUUCUUAAGGGGACUGUAUGCGUUUAUAGCAUGCGGAAGAGCGAGCCAAUA
This 953-nucleotide ribosomal RNA is filed under the name uncultured eukaryote. Its description in RNAcentral is "bacterial SSU rRNA". It matches the Rfam family "Eukaryotic small subunit ribosomal RNA", at positions 633 to 1455 of the family's 1831-position model. The record is from RNAcentral.